AUCAUAUCACGUUGAAACACCCGCAAUUGUACGACCACCGAAGUUAAGCAACGUCGAACCUGGUCAGUACCUUGAUGAGUGACCGCACGGGAAUAUCAAGUGCUAUAG
Acanthosepion pharaonis is the source of this 108-nucleotide non-coding RNA. NCBI's taxonomy places the organism in Eukaryota, Metazoa, Mollusca, Cephalopoda, Sepiida, Sepiidae. The record is from the annotation of a GenBank genome assembly.